Molecule: long non-coding RNA, 904 nt
Organism: Carcharodon carcharias (great white shark)
Lineage: Eukaryota; Metazoa; Chordata; Chondrichthyes; Lamniformes; Lamnidae
Exons: 3
Source: RefSeq, a predicted model, not a curated record
UACACGGCUCGGUUGUCUUUAUACCGAUGUAUUACUGUUCUCAUUGUGCCUCAUCUUAAUAACUGAACCCACAAUGUGUUUAUUCAAUCUGUUAUGAGUGAUUGGUGCCUUGUGUCUUGUACAGUAAAUAAGCCUAAGAAGUGGACUAAUUAAUUUCAGAGUUUGCUGUUAUGUUUAGCAUUUGUCAGAGCUUUGACAAGGUGACUACUAGUUAACAGAUUCAAAGCAACUCUUCAAGGAAUCACAACAUUGGUACCAAUGAGCCCACUGCGCUUUUCCGGCAUUUUCUGGACCUGGUUCAGUGUUUCCGGUUUUUAAACUUUCCUCAAGUUUGCUGGUUAUCAUAACUUCACAAGAUGAGGGCGGUAGCUGAAGAUUAUACAACUCUUCUAGCAAGCAAAUAAAAUAUUCAAAAGAUGAGAAAUAGCUCCAUUUUGAUAGCGCCUUUCAUGACCUCAGCAUGUCCCAAAGUACUUUAGACUUCAGCAGUACUUCAUUGGCUGUAGUCACUGUUGUAAUGUAGGGGAACUUGGCAAUUAUUCUGAAUCAGGCACAAUAAUUCCUUUAGGACAAUGGUCAAGUGUGACUGAGACAUCCAGACCAACUUAGUUGUUUUCAGCCAAAGCAACAGCGAGGGAUGCUACAGACAGUCUAACUGUCCCUCUGAGGCUCUGGGCCUCAGGACCAAAUGGGGACCCUGAGAUCCCAGCAAAGCAGUGGCACUCUCCGAAUUGGCCGUCUCCACGGUCACUGUACUAUUAAGGAUGGUGGCCCUCCCAAUGCUGCCGGUCCAGUCUGAGGCCAACAGCUUUGGAGCCUUGGUAGGCCCCACUGGGAAGUGUGGGCAAGCCUCAAGAUGGAAGCACCCUCACUAGCCAACACAACACAGAACGGCUGCACUAAA